This 460-nucleotide ribosomal RNA is filed under the name uncultured bacterium. RNAcentral describes it as "partial 16S ribosomal RNA". It matches the Rfam family "Bacterial small subunit ribosomal RNA", at positions 338 to 795 of the family's 1533-position model. The record is from RNAcentral.
CCUACGGGUGGCAGCAGUGAGGAAUAUUGGUCAAUGGACGAGAGUCUGAACCAGCCAAGUAGCGUGAAGGAUGACUGCCCUAUGGGUUGUAAACUUCUUUUAUAAAGGAAUAAAACGAGGCACGUGUGCCUUUUUGCAUGUACUUUAUGAAUAAGGAUCGGCUAACUCCGUGCCAGCAGCCGCGGUAAUACGGAGGAUCCGAGCGUUAUCCGGAUUUAUUGGGUUUAAAGGGAGCGUAGAUGGGUUGUUAAGUCUGGAGUGAAAUGCCGCAGCUUAACUGCGGAACUGCUUUGGAAACUGGCGAACGAGAGUGAGGGAGGGGUAAGCGGAAUUCCAAGUGUAGCGGUGAAAUGCGUAGAUAUUAGGAGGAACACCGGUGGCGAAGGCGGCUUACUGGACCGUAACUGACGUUGAGGCUCGAAAGCGUGGGGAGCAAACAGGAUUAGAUACCCCUGUAGUC